Molecule: ribosomal RNA, 497 nt
Filed under: uncultured bacterium
Lineage: Bacteria
Description: partial 16S ribosomal RNA
Rfam family: Bacterial small subunit ribosomal RNA
Source: RNAcentral
GAUGAACGCUGGCGGCGUGCCUAACACAUGCAAGUCGAGCGAACAGACGAGGAGCUUGCUCCUUGCUCGUUAGCGGCGCACGGGUGAGUAACGCGUGGAUAACCUACCUGUAAGACUGAGAUAUCUUCGAGAAACGGGAGCUAAUACCGUAUAAUAUCUUGAUCCGCAGGGUUCAAUGGUGAAAGACGGUGUUGCUGUCACUUAUCGAUGGAUCCCCGCCUCUUUAUCUAGUUGUGAAUUUAACGGCUUACCAAGGGAAGGAUGCGUAGCCGACGUGAGAGGGGGAUAGGCCACCUUGGAAGUGGGCCGGCGUCCAGACGACUAAGGGACGCAGCAGUAGGGAACGUUACGCAAUGGGCGAAAGCUUGACAGAGCAACGGGGAGUGAGUGAUGACGGUGCUCGGAUCGUAAAACUCUGUUAUUAGGGAAGAACAACUGUGUACGUAAAUAUGCACGUCUUGACGGUACCUAGUCAAAAAGCACCGGCUAACUACGUG